AGGAAAAGAAACUAACAAGGAUUCCCCUAGUAACGGCGAGCGAACAGGGAAGAGCUCAAAUUUGAAAUCUGGCGUCCUCCGGGCGUCCGAGUUGUAAUCUAUAGAGACGUUUUCCGUGCCGGACCGUGUCCAAGUUCCUUGGAACAGGAUAUCAAAGAGGGUGACAAUCCCGUACUUGACACGACGACCGGUGCUCUGUGAUACGUUUUCUACGAGUCGAGUUGUUUGGGAAUGCAGCUCAAAAUGGGUGGUGAGUUCCAUCUAAAGCUAAAUAUUGGCGAGAGACCGAUAGCGAACAAGUACCGUGAGGGAAAGAUGAAAAGCACUUUGGAAAGAGAGUUAAACAGUACGUGAAAUUGUUAAAAGGGAAACGAUUGAAGUCAGUCGUGUCUGGGAGGCUCAGCCGGUUCUGCCGGUGUAUUCCUCUCAGACGGGUCAACAUCAGUUUUGUCCGACGGAUAAUGGCGGCGGGAAAGUAGCACCUCCGGGUGUGUUAUAGCCCGCUGUCGCAUACGCCGGAUGAGACUGAGGCAUGCAGCUCGCCUUUAUGGCAGGGGUUCGCCCACUUUCGAGCUUAGGAUGUUGACGUAAUGGCUUUAAACGACCCGUCUUG
Molecule: ribosomal RNA, 613 nt
Filed under: Bullera alba
Lineage: Eukaryota; Fungi; Basidiomycota; Tremellomycetes; Tremellales; Bulleraceae
Description: eukaryotic LSU rRNA
Rfam family: Eukaryotic large subunit ribosomal RNA
Source: RNAcentral